This 253-nucleotide ribosomal RNA is filed under the name uncultured bacterium. Its description in RNAcentral is "partial 16S ribosomal RNA". It matches the Rfam family "Bacterial small subunit ribosomal RNA", at positions 524 to 776 of the family's 1533-position model. The record is from RNAcentral.
UACGUAGGUGGCAAGCGUUGUCCGGAUUUAUUGGGUUUAAAGGGUGCGUAGGCGGCCCUGUAAGUCAGUGCUGAAAUCCCCCGGCUUAACCUGGGAACUGCGUCUGAUACUGGAAGGCUUGAGUGCGGGAGAGGGAUGUGGAAUUCCAGGUGUAGCGGUGAAAUGCGUAGAUAUCUGGAGGAACACCGGUGGCGAAGGCGGCAUCCUGGACCGACACUGACGCUGAGGCGCGAAAGCUAGGGUAGCAAACGGG